This 1845-nucleotide long non-coding RNA is filed under the name Chrysemys picta bellii (western painted turtle). Its description in RNAcentral is "lncRNA (ENSCPBG00000015734.1)". Lineage: Eukaryota; Metazoa; Chordata; Testudines; Emydidae. The record is from RNAcentral.
CAGAUGGUUUGGAGGGGAGAAAAAGAAAAGGCAGAGUGCCUAGAGUUUGACAUCUCCAAUAAAUUCCCAGGAGUCUGUUUUAUAAAUGUCAGCAUAUUUGUGGUGGUUCAUGCAGGUGCUUACACAGGACUUGUGGCCUUUCACCUAGCAUAAUUAACUUCCUUUUAUUUCACAAUGUUUACCAUUUCUUUCCUUAACCUUUUUGUUUUUACAGAGUGCUCUUGAAGGAAAACUCAGCAAGUUGCUCAAACACCUGCUUGCCAUGAGGCAAACACUGAGCUUCAUACUUGCCCCAGGACAGGAGUCCUGUGAGAAAGCUCAUCAGAUACUACCAACUGUUGUUUAUGCUAGAUUGCUAAAUCAUGUGACUAGAUGUCAUCAAUCUCUGGAGGAAUGCUGUAGCGACUUGCUUGUUUUGACACUUAUUGUACCAUCUGCACCUUGGGUAAAACUGGAGCACUCCUUGAGCCAAGAAUUCACUGUGGAGAAUGUACUUGCAAUAUUGCCUGCAUUUCCCAAGGGGGCCCCUCAGCAACGGGCCAAAAGGGCUGCAGAAACCCUGGUGAAAGCUUGUAAUUAUUCCAGAUUAAUGGCAAUGCAACAGAUACAUGCUCUGCAAGCUGAACUCAAUUUCCAUAGAAGCAUGUACAACCUCCAAGUUAAGUACACUGAAGCUGUUUUUGAGGGGAUAAAGCAAGCCUACCACACUUUUCAAGAGAAUGUUGUGUCAGUUCUAUGUUCACCGCUACAAGAUGUUCUUUCUUCUUACAUAAACCUUAAAGCGGAAACUUCAGUGGUUGCUUUAAGGGACUUUCUCACUGCUUUUAAAAACAAUGCCAAACAGAUCCAAGAUACAGUUGACACUUACACUCCAUCAAAGAAUCAGCAGCACAAAGGUGAUGAGGCCCUGUCAAGGUUUGGAAAAGAAUUCUUCCUCUCUUUGGAGCAUUCACUCAAAGACUGUGGGGAACAACGGGAUAAAGCAGCCAGCGAAAUGGAAACCUUACAAACUGAACUGGUACUGGCCUUUGAAAACCUUCAGAGCUUAAGAAAGGAACGAAAAGAGAAGAAAGCAGAAUCCAUUCCUCAUUUUACAAAGUCUGAAGGAGGGGAGAGUGCAGGAGGAGGAGCUGCAAGUGGCUUGGAUAUGAUUUCAAAAGAUAACCCAGUGCCAGAUUCAACACCUCUGCUGCCUCCACACAGUGAGAGUCUUUUGCCCAAACAUGUGUCUGUGAUGGCAGAAGCAUCUAGCAACUCAUCAGCCAAGCUGCAGCAGCAGAGUUCUAAGGGGUUAGCCCUUCACCAGAAGGGGAAGAGCUCCCACAGGAGUAAGAGCAUGAAGACCCCACUGCAAGGCCACCUUGGCAAGAUUAACCAUCACUUUAUCUUUAAUAUCUUUUUCUUCAAAAAUGGUCUGAGCUAGUUUGUAAUAUUCUGUGUUAUGAUGAACUCAGGGGCAAGGGGCAGUCCUGCAAGGUGUUGGGAAAAGAAUUAAGUCAAGGGGGCUGAGGGCAUUCAACACCUUGUAAAUGGUGUUGGAAAUCUCAUAGGGGGCCCGAUCAAAGCUCAUUGAAGUCAAUGACAGAAUUCCCAUCCAUGGGCUUUGGAUCAGGUCCUUAGUAUUCAUGCUAGAAUGCAUGAAACCAGGAGGACAGAAAUAGAGGGCUGGUGUUAAACUAGAAUGAAUAGCUUUUGAAGAGGUAAUAUCCGCACUCAGCACAUGGACUGUACUAAUGUUAUGCUGGAUGUAUGUGCUGUUUCAUCACAGAUGUGUUUUUACACUUUAUGAAGAUUAUAGAAUGACUAAAAAAAUAAAUCACUGGCACCAGGCUUGGUUUUGUUUCA